UACGAAGGGUGCAAGCGUUACUCGGAAUUACUGGGCGUAAAGCGUGCGUAGGUGGUUGUUUAAGUCUGCUGUGAAAGCCCUGGGCUCAACCUGGGAAUUGCAGUGGAUACUGGACAACUAGAGUGUGGUAGAGGGUGGCGGAAUUCCCGGUGUAGCAGUGAAAUGCGUAGAGAUCGGGAGGAACACCCGUGGCGAAGGCGGCCACCUGGGCCAACACUGACACUGAGGCACGAAAGCGUGGGGAGCAAACAGG
This 253-nucleotide ribosomal RNA is filed under the name uncultured bacterium. Its description in RNAcentral is "partial 16S ribosomal RNA". It matches the Rfam family "Bacterial small subunit ribosomal RNA", at positions 524 to 776 of the family's 1533-position model. The record is from RNAcentral.